Molecule: non-coding RNA, 69 nt
Organism: Paramuricea clavata
Lineage: Eukaryota; Metazoa; Cnidaria; Anthozoa; Malacalcyonacea; Plexauridae
Source: the annotation of a GenBank genome assembly
CCAGUGCUCCAUCUUCAUUUAAGCAAAUGUUUAAUUUAAACAUUUGCUUAAAUGAAGAUGGAGCACUGG